Beta vulgaris subsp. vulgaris (sugar beet) is the source of this 222-nucleotide non-coding RNA. Lineage: Eukaryota; Viridiplantae; Streptophyta; Magnoliopsida; Caryophyllales; Amaranthaceae. The record is from Rfam.
AAGUUCCUCUACUCGGCAAGGAGUAGCGAUCCACCGAGACACCGAGUCAUGGGCCGAAGCCGGCGACGGUCAGGUUAAGCGUUGACAGGUGAAAGUGCAGGCACGGUAUUGAGCUCCGAAAUCACCGUUGGGAACGCCGACCUUGUUGGGUGACGGGGAAGGCAAUACGAGGUUCCGCGCUAGCGCGAGCGGAUCACUCGGUUCCCCGGAGUCAGCAGACUC